This 501-nucleotide ribosomal RNA is filed under the name uncultured bacterium. RNAcentral's name for it is "partial 16S ribosomal RNA". It matches the Rfam family "Bacterial small subunit ribosomal RNA", at positions 29 to 523 of the family's 1533-position model. The record is from RNAcentral.
AUUGAACGCUGGCGGCAUGCCUUACACAUGCAAGUCGAACGGCAGCACGGGUGCUUGCACCUGGUGGCGAGUGGCGGACGGGUGAGUAAUACAUCGGAACGUACCUUAUCGUGGGGGAUAACGCAGCGAAAGCUGUGCUAAUACCGCAUACGCCCUGAGGGGGAAAGCGGGGGAUCGCAAGACCUCGCGCGAUUGGAGCGGCCGAAGGCAGAUUAGGUAGUUGGUGGGGUAAAGGCUCACCAAGCCGACGAUCUGUAGCUGGUCUGAGAGGACGACCAGCCACACUGGGACUGAGACACGGCCCAGACUCCUACGGGAGGCAGCAGUGGGGAAUUUUGGACAAUGGGCGCAAGCCUGAUCCAGCCAUUCCGCGUGCAGGAUGAAGGCCCUCGGGUUGUAAAGCUCUUUUGUCAGGGAAGAAACACCGGCUCUAACACAGUCCGGGAAUGACGGUACCUGAAGAAUAAGCACCGGCUAACUACGUGCCAGCCGCCGCCGUAA